Molecule: long non-coding RNA, 589 nt
Organism: Haliotis rubra (blacklip abalone)
Lineage: Eukaryota; Metazoa; Mollusca; Gastropoda; Lepetellida; Haliotidae
Exons: 4
Source: RefSeq, a predicted model, not a curated record
UUGCGACCACAUGGGCUGGCUGCGAUCUGUGUGAGAACGUCCGAUGCACCCGAUGGCUGACAUGCCGAGUUAGUGGAGACCCCUUGGAGAGUACAGAUGUUAGGUGUCUUGACAAGUGCCACAUAGCCCAAGCCCCGGAUGUGUGCGCCGUUGGCGAUCCCGCUGUUUACCUGACCGGAAGUAGGAAGGGUCAGCCGGUCAGGUGUACCACCAACAAUGACUGUAGGAAUGGAACAGAGUGUGUAACACCUGGCUAUUGCUGUCAGGCUGACUGUGCAACAACCACUACAGCACCAGGAACUACGUCAGCACCAAUAUUCACUACAAGACCAUAAACUACGUUAGCUACCAGCAACCACUACAGCACCAGGAACUACGUCAGCACCAAUAUUCACUACAAGACCAUAAACUACGUUAGCACCAACAUCCACUACAGCACCAGGAACUACGUCAGCACCAAUAUUCACUACAAGACCAUAAACUACGUUAGCUACCAACAACCACUACAGCACCAGGAACUACGUUAGCACCAACAACCACUGCUUCUCAGUAAGUCAAAUAAAAUGUUCCAUGUUUGGUGAUACACAGA